AGGUGCGAUCAUACCAGCACUAAUGCACUGGAUUCCAUCAGAACUCCGCAGUGAAGCGUGCUUGGGCGAGAGUAGUACUAGGAUGGGUGACCUCCUGGGAAGUCCUCGUGUUGCACUUC
Molecule: ribosomal RNA, 119 nt
Filed under: Phaseolus vulgaris (common bean)
Lineage: Eukaryota; Viridiplantae; Streptophyta; Magnoliopsida; Fabales; Fabaceae
Source: RNAcentral